UUAUUAGCCCUUUCACUGGUUUUUUUAACUUAUCUUUGUGAAUUUAUCUACCUUUGGUCCUUAAUGUUGGUGACCUUUGCAUGGAGUUUUUGUGUAGUCAUGCUUUUUGUUGAUACUGAUGUUACUGCUUUCUGUUUGUUAGUUUUCCUUCUAAGAGUCAGGUCCCUCUUCUGCAGGUCUGCUAGAGUCUGCUGGAGGUCAAAAAAUACCUUUUUGCCUGGGUAUUAUCAGUAGAGGCUUCAGAACA
Sapajus apella (tufted capuchin) is the source of this 247-nucleotide long non-coding RNA. RefSeq lists it as uncharacterized. The transcript has 3 exons. Lineage: Eukaryota; Metazoa; Chordata; Mammalia; Primates; Cebidae. The record is from RefSeq and is a predicted model, not a curated record.